Molecule: long non-coding RNA, 1160 nt
Organism: Hydractinia symbiolongicarpus
Lineage: Eukaryota; Metazoa; Cnidaria; Hydrozoa; Anthoathecata; Hydractiniidae
Exons: 2
Source: RefSeq, a predicted model, not a curated record
UAUUGUUGUUUUGGCUUACUAUGUGAAAUAAUUUUUUGUAGUUUUUAUGCAAAGGACAUAUAACUUUCUAGUUUAAACCGCUUAAAAUUUAAAGUGUAAGAAAUUUUGAUUUAAAAGGAAGAGAGAAAGGAUAUCAUAAAAACUUCCCGUCGUUACACGGAAAGAAAAUGUUAGAGUUCGUCGUGUUGUUGCUGGUCCUGGCUGUGAUUUUUAUAGCUUGUUUUAUGGUACGGAUAACUGGCGAAACCUUGCCUGCACCAAGAAUGGGAGGACGGGCUGAACUUCAAGCCGAUAUUUUUUUCCAAUUUCGUUGAUUUUUCGAUAAUAUUUUCUAAUGUAGAUUAUUUUAUUCUAUUUCUUUAUUGUAUUUCAGAUCAUAUUCAAACUUUAAAAAUUUGCGCGUCGUUCAAAAUUCUGCUCGCGCUAUCCUUUAAAAAACUUUUUCAGAUUACAAUGUCUGGUUUUAUUAAUGUUCAAACAGAAAUUUUUGACAAAAUUUCAGUUUGAACAUUCUUUGAUCUUUAACUGUUGCUUAAAAAAAUGUUAGCCGUCGUUGUUAAGACUUCUUUUAUGCCAAAUUUUUUGUUUAUACCGACAGGUAACUUGUUUAAGAACCAGUUUCUUAAAUAUAAAGGUAUAUUUACCUGGAAAUAUGCCCCAAGUUAAAUCUCUGCGGUUGGCUUUUUCGUGUCUGUUGCCUUGUUCUGUAAAAUACACGUUAGAAAAAAAAUCAUUGUUGCGUCGUUUUUAGAAGCAGCAUAUAUUUAGAAGAUAUAUUUUUUUGGGAAUUCUGAUCAAAUUCGCAAGGUUGAAAUUUACGUAGUUCUUCGAUAUUCGGACAAUUUGCAAAAGUCACCGGAAUUGAAUAAAAAUAUAGAAAAACGGAAAAUGCGAAUACAAUAAGUAAACAAACUCGUCCCCAGUGUUCCUUUUUUGCCAGAAAGCGAAAAAAAGGCCUGAGAAACAGACUGAUAAGCAAGAGCAACAAACCUUUUAAUUUAGCUGUGGCUUCUUGAUUCAUCGAGUUAAUAGCAGAUUGAAACUGCUUGCCUAUUGGUUUCCAGUGAGAUGCGGAUUUCUUUCCCGUUUUGCCGUUGACACCCAAAGUGAUAACAGCGACCAAAAAUACCACAGCGCUACGAAAAAAUGUAAAACAAAGA